Molecule: long non-coding RNA, 909 nt
Filed under: Nicotiana benthamiana
Lineage: Eukaryota; Viridiplantae; Streptophyta; Magnoliopsida; Solanales; Solanaceae
Description: long non-coding RNA (NBEN_LNC019162)
Source: RNAcentral
UAGCGGUGGUGCUGUUCGUGCUGUUAUCACCAGGGCUGCUGUUCCAGUUACCCGGCCGUGGAAAAGUGGUGGAGUUCGGUGGUAUGCAAACGAGCGGUGCAGCCAUUCUGGUCCACACAGUCAUUUACUUCGGCCUUAUCACCAUCCUCCUCAUUGCCGUUGGCGUCCAUGUCUACACCGGCUAAGUAUACACCGGCUAAGCUCUACUGGAUCUCUGCUCGGAUCAGAAAUUUUUAUUUUAUUACUCUCUAGUUAAGGUGUAAUUUUUCUUUGGUCAAGAAUUGUUAAGUAUGGUGAUGGUUCAUGGAUAUAUAUUUGCCUUUUGAUUUUCCAACUUGCUCAGCAGAUUGUACAAGUAAGAUAAUCUGGUUGUUGAUUUUCUUCGAUUAGGUGUAUAUGGGGUGUUUUGCGUUAUCUACUACUUCAGCUACUAAAUUAUACAGUACUCGCUAUCUCUAGGAGCGGUGUAGCCAUUUUGGUCCACACCGUCAUUUACUUCGGCCUUAUCACCAUCCUCCUCAUUGCCGUUGGCGUCCAUGUCUACACCGGCUAAGUAUACCCCAACUUCACUUGACUAAGCUCUACUAUAAGUGUCUGCUCGGAUCAGAAAUUUUUAUUUUGUUGUUCUCUAAUUAAGGUGUACUUUUUCUUUGUUCAAGAAUUGUUAAAGUAUGGUGAUGGUUCAUCGAUAUUUGCUUUUUAAUUUUCAAAUUUGCUAAGCAGAUUAUACUAGUAAAGAUAAUCUGGUUGUUGAUUUUCUUCGAUUAGUUGUAUAUGGGGUAUUUUGCGUUAUCUGCUACUUCAGCUACUAAAUUAUACAGUACUCGCUAUGUAGAAUCUUUGAAUGUUCAAUAUCAUUAAUAAUGAUUCUGCCUCCCCCACCCCCACAAAAAAAAGAGAGAAAAGGGA